GUAGGUGGCAAGCGUUGUCCGGGAAUUAUUGGGGCGUAAAGCGCGCGCAGGCGGUUCUUUAAGUCUGAUGUGAAAGCCCACGGGCUCAACCGUGGAGGGUCAUUGGAAACUGGAGAACUUGAGUACAGAAGAGGAAAGCGGAAUUCCACGUGUAGCGGUGAAAUGCGUAGAGAUGUGGAGGAACACCAGUGGCGAAGGCGGCUUUCUGGUCUGUAACUGACGCUGAGGCGCGAAAGCGUGGGGAGCAAACAGGAUUAGAUACCCUGGUAGUCCACGCUGUAAACGAUGAGUGCUAAGUGUUAGGGGGUUUCCGCCCCUUAGUGCUGCAGCUAACGCAUUAAGCACUCCGCCUGGGGAGUACGGCCGCAAGGCUG
RNAcentral lists this ribosomal RNA (374 nucleotides) under uncultured organism. Its description in RNAcentral is "partial 16S ribosomal RNA". It matches the Rfam family "Bacterial small subunit ribosomal RNA", at positions 527 to 896 of the family's 1533-position model. The record is from RNAcentral.